Molecule: long non-coding RNA, 1381 nt
Organism: Anas platyrhynchos (mallard)
Lineage: Eukaryota; Metazoa; Chordata; Aves; Anseriformes; Anatidae
Source: RefSeq, a predicted model, not a curated record
GUCCUCCAACAUGCCCGGAUCACUGCUCUCUUCUUUCAGUGCAUUUUGCUAUUUCCAAAUACGCAAACAAAUCCCAAAUACGUUCCUUUACCAAAUCUCAUGUUAAUAGCACGCAUGCAUUUGCGGGUUUUGUGCGUCCUGCUGCCUCCCAAGCACGAGUGGAUCUCUUUACAAACCAUGACUGGCUGCAAUUCAGACUGUCGGAGGAGGGCACGUCACCAGAAGAGUGUGAAAACAUCUAAUUACAUGAGGCCAGGUCCUCAGCUAAUGCAAACUGACAGAGCUCCCAGAAGCCCACGAAGACACGAUGCUGCAGAUUAGCAGAGGUUUGGCUGGUUAUAAUUGAGCAGCCCCAACUUAUGCUUUUCCCACCUAGUGACAGAUUGUUGGACUCCUGACCACCAGAAUCUCACGGAGGGCACUGGGGAGUUGAAAGCAGCUUGUAUCAGAGAAAAGUAAACUCUGGUUUGGUUGGACACGUAUUUGGGAUCCAGCUGAAUUAUCAGAAAAGCCUGUUGAAGAGAUGUGCAGUUAGUGUUUUUCUCAUACAAUUUGGGCAUUUUUUGGUUGGGGGAGCUGGGUGGGCAGACUCAGACAGGAGGAAAACCUCGUUCCUUUCUGGCCCCAUCUUCAUAGAAGAGCUGUCAGAGCGAGCCUGCAGAUUCAAGGCAGCUGGAAUUGCCUCAUCCUCCUGGCAUGGACACGAGGAGGGUUUCUCCUGCUCCCUCCCCCCUCGCUUAAUGCAUCGCCUCUUCUGUGGUGGGGAUGUGGUGUGAGGCAGAAGGGGAAGAAGCUUUAGCAGAGCUAUUUCAGUUGUAGGAGCACGCAGUUCUGUCCUGUUCAUCCAGCAUACGGGAUAUAAACAGCAAUGGAAGAGCUGCACUUGAGCCUCUCGCACUCAACUCCCUCACCACCACUGUACCAGGGGACAGAGAACAAGACAUUUUCAGCCUUGCAAGUUCCACAGACUGCCAGCUUCCAAUAUAACUUCUGUCACGUGAGAGAGUGUUGGCACACGAAAGACUCUUGGCCCAGCUUAGCUGUCUUCAUCAUCAGCUCCUCUGCUUGGGGAAAGAAAAAAGCCCAGCAAUGCUAACGUUCUGAGGAAUCAAGAAGUGUAUUCUUCUGCAUACGAAUUGGAUGAACGUGAUUUACCCAGAAGUCAUGAUUUCAAACAAAUAAAACCACUAUUAAAACGGCAACCACAGCCUGUGCUGCCACCUAUCCUUAGUUAAUCUCUGCAUUUUCUGCCGGCUCGUUUUCUACUUGGGAGUGACAGGCGCUGUCCUGGGAGGUCUCCCUCCCUGCUGAUGCAAGAGCCACAGACACCAGCCCUUGCAGCAGGCUCAGGAGCCACAGGAACUGGCUUUUAGUCCUGGAU